Long non-coding RNA from Chrysemys picta bellii (western painted turtle), 1592 nucleotides. The record is from Ensembl. Lineage: Eukaryota; Metazoa; Chordata; Testudines; Emydidae.
GGAGAGCAGAAACCCCAUCAGCUUUUCAGGGGCGAUUCUAGCCCAGCACUGAUCACACGGCACCUUUCUGUUCCCAGGGCUGAGUCCCAGCAGCCAGGAGAUCUGCUCAGCUUCCGGUGCUCUCCCUGCCCCCACCCUCUACCUGAGCCAGAUGUCUGCCCGGCCGGUGGACUCUGUGAGGCUCCAGUGCUCCAUGAUCUCCCAUCUCCUGGCCUCCCGCAUUGUCUUCUGUCAGGAUGGGGAGGAGGUUUGGUCCCAGAGGGGCUUAUCUGGGAAACUCACCUACGACUAUGACCACGCAGUAUCUGGGGCAAGCUCCAGGAAUUACUCCUGUGCAUACGAGAUCAAGGACAGUGACAACCAGGUGAUCAGGUCCCAGCUCAGCCCUCCCCAGCACCUCAUCGGCACCAGUAAGGCCAAUGUGAGUGUGAGACCAUAUCCCAGCUCAGCCCUGCCCAGCAACUCAGCACCGUGGGAAGGACUGGAAAAUGUUACAAUAUUGGCAAUUACAAUUCCUGUUUCGGUGGGUGUGAUUUUGGCUCUUGUUCUGCCCCUGGUGUAUUACCUUAAGAAGAAGAAGAAAGGUAUGUAAACAUGGAAACCUCACAUUAUUCACAAAUGAACAGGUAUAGGAGGCAAACAAAGGACAUAAAAAAGAGAUUCCCACCUCACAUGGUGUUCUCAGACAUGGGAAACCUGAAGAAAAUAACAUUUAAAUAAUUGCCAUAUAGAAAAUCUGAACCUGAAAUGUGAACCCUUUCAGACAUUGAGGGUAAAGAGAGCAAAAUGGGGGUUAAACUCCAGCUCUGAACUUAAUCUUCUGAGGUCCUUUCCAGACCUAUGAUUCUAUCUAGACCAUCCAUGCAGGACCAUGUAAACCUAGAUGAUCCCUGGCAGAUGUUUAUCUAACCUCUUCUUAAAAUCCUCCGAUGAAGGGGCUUCCACUACUUAGCUAAAUAACCUAUUCCAGUGCUUGACUAUCCUUAGAGUUAGAAAGUUUUCCUAAUACCUAACCUUAAACCGCCCUUGCUGCAGAUUAAGACCAUUAAUUCAUGUUUUACUUAACAGACAUGGAGAACAAUUUAUCACCUCCUCUUCAUAACUUGUACCUAAAGUUUUGGUUUGAGAUAUAUUUUCUGGAUCUGAUUUGGAUUUGGUUUGACAUGGAAGAAAUCUUGCAAGAACAGCUGAUUUUGUGAGACUUGAAUGAUUUGAGAUCAAAAUCAUAUGACCCACAGCUUGUCAGAUUUCACCACUGACCCUGAGCCUAUACACUAGUCCAGGAUUGACCUUGAGUCUGAAUUUAGGAGCUGGUCAAUAUUUUUCAAAUUUCAAAAAUUGGAUGAAAAUCCAGAUUUUGAUAUUUGAAACAAACUAGAAAAACAUUCGUUAAGGGGCUUAUUCCUUCACCCUCUCACUUCCCUGGUCCUUCUCGCAUGAACAGAGAGCAACAAUACCUGAAGUCCAAAGGCGCAAACAAUUUGAUGUUUAUUAGGGUGAACUUCCAGCAAGCAUGAUUCCAGUUUCCUUCCUCAGUGUUCCCCUUCCCAGCUCUGACACCACAGAGCCAUCCCUGUUCCCAUUCCCCCCUU